RNAcentral lists this ribosomal RNA (167 nucleotides) under uncultured bacterium. RNAcentral describes it as "partial 16S ribosomal RNA". It matches the Rfam family "Bacterial small subunit ribosomal RNA", at positions 1334 to 1500 of the family's 1533-position model. The record is from RNAcentral.
GCUAGUAAUCGCAGAUCAGCAUGCUGCGGUGAAUACGUUCCCGGGCCUUGUACACACCGCCCGUCACACCAUGGGAGUCGGUAACACCCGAAGCCUGUAGUCUAACCGCAAGGAGGACGCAGUCGAAGGUGGGAUUGAUGACUGGGGUGAAGUCGUAACAAGGUAUC